AGUCUGGAAUGGCCUCGUCCUGCCUCCCCCACCUUGAAGCCUCUGCUUUUCUCUUCCAGCAUCUGCGCUGCCUGAUUUGCUGAGCACCUACUAUGCAUCAGACGCUGUGUUCUAGGCAAGGGGGAUACACCUGAUGGAAGAAGGUCCUUCCCUAGACGUAGCUAACAUCCCAGUGUGGGAGAUGACACGAAACAUUGUCCCCACCCUGAAGAUCACCACUGAAACCUCUGGGACCCAUGUACAUGUGCAAGACAGAGUGAAUCUCACCUGCCACGUCCUCCACUUCUAUCCCGCCCACCUGCGACUCACCUGGAUGGAGAACAGGAGCAUGAUCCAGACCCUGGUGUCCCCUCGUCCCCUCAGGCCACCAGAAAUCCAGAUGGGACAUACUCUCUGGAGCACACGUGGCAGGCAGAGGCCACGCUGGAGGAGCGUGAGUUUGCUUGCUGGGUGGUCCACGAUGAGCAGCCCCCACUCAAGGCCAACGUCACCCUGCAAGCCCAGGUGCGCAGGCAGGGGAAAGUUUAUUUAAGUUCCUUAUAGAUUGUGGAUCUUCGACCUUUGUCGGAUGCGCGCUUUGCGAAUAUUUUCUCCCAUUUUGUGGGUCGUCUGUUGGCCGUGCUGAUCGUUUCUCUGGCCCGCCUUGCCGCCUGGAAUCUCUGCCUCCGUCUCUCGCUCACUCUUUGCGGCCUCAAACCGUUUUCUCCACAAGAGGGAGCUGUCGGCCGGCAGUUCAGACCCAGAGAGCGCGGGCGGCGCUCCUUCCGCCCGGCUGGGAUGAGCUCGGGAGAAUGAACUACCGGCCCAGAGGCUGGGAUGAGCUCGGGAGAAUGAACUACCGGCCCAGAGGCUGGGAUGAGCUCGGGAGAAUGAACUACCGGCCCAGAGGCUGGGAUGAGCUCGGGAGAAUGAAUUACUGGCCCAGAGUGGGCCGGCUGGGCGGUGGGGGCGCUCAGUGUCCGAGAGGGUGGGUGGAGGUCAUUAGGAUCGGCCGGGCCUUGUGAGCUAGGGGUAAGCCAGCCUAUGGACCCACAGCCCUCCAGAACCACGUGAAGUCAAAAAGGACAGUCCCCUGGGGGCAGUGAGGGUGGAUGCCUCGGAGUAUUACAGCGCAGGCCGCUGCCAGGGUAAGGGUGCCGGACCGGCAACAACAGCCCAUCUUCCCACCAGGGCCCUCCACCUCGCAUUCUCUCUCUCCCUGACGGAAUUGGCCUCUUAUCUGGCUGCUGUAAGAAUUCUUAAGAGGAAUGAUCCCACUCAGCUUUCAGUCUCCCCGUGCCUUUUUGUCUGUUGUCCAGCAGAGAGAAGAAAAACACUCACCCAGCAGGAUAUACAGGUCUGGCUGAAAAACUCAAAACUGGUCCUUUCUGAUCAGAAGCAAGUUACGAUACUUCUUUAUUGACUCAUGCUGGUUUUUUCUUCUUUUAUUUUUCUCUUUUGCCUGCAUGCGGUAUAUCUGGCCCACUGCUGCAACAUUAACCCCCUGGGAGCAUCCUUUUGAUUAUAUGGCUCCGCUAUGCAGCUUUGUGGGGCCCCGUGGUCUGCAGGGGGAAGGGCAGCCCCUUCCUUUUCUGGCAUUUAGGCCCCUUUCUAUUUGGUGUUAACAAAGCAUUGCAGCUAUCCUUCCCCAACCUGGCCCAUAAAUGCCUUCAUCAGCACCCUCACCUGUUACGAACUCCCCACUCUGUCUCUGUUCCUACUGGGUGACACCCGUAGAGCAUUUACUGCACACUAGGCAUCCUCAAAUACAUUAUCUGAUCCUACAACAGAGCCCAGAGCUAGCACAGGGACCAAGGUCUCAGAGGUUCCAAACAGCAUAGCUGGGGUUAGAAUGCAGGCGUGUCUGUUCAAAAAUUCAAUGUGUUUUUCUGCAUUUUUCUUUCCUAUCCUGCCCGAGAAUACAAAGCUUAGUGUUAUCUCAAGUCUCUUCUCAAAUCUCAAUUUUAAAUGCUCUAUUUCUGAUAUUUAUUUCUUCCUGAAUUGUGUGGUCUUAUCGGUCCAUACCAGUUAGUUCUCACAAUUAGUAUUUAAACUACAAGGGCGUUCCCAAAGUCCCCCGACCUGGGGUUUUAUUCCAUUUACACCCAUCUUCCGUGAUUAGACUCUCACAUCCUUGAAGCAGGGACUGGCUCUUAUGUUUCGAGGUGGCCAAACGUCGGAGUCAAACAGAUCAGUGUCCCCAGCCAUGUGACCUAAGACAAAACAACUCCCUUUCUUUUUUUGAGAUGGAGUUUUGCUCUUAUGGCCCAGGCUGGAGUGCAAUGGUGUGAUUUCAGUUCACUGCAAUCUCUGCCUCUCGGGUUCAAGUGAUUCUCCUGCCUCAGCUUCCCAAGUAGCUGGGAUUACAGGCACACACCACCAUGGCCAGCUAAUUUUGUAUUUUUAGUAGAGAUGGGGUUUCACCGUGUUGGUCAGGCUGGUCUCGAACUCCUGAACUCAGGUGAUCCACCUACCUCGGCCUCCCAAAGUGCUGGGUUACAGGCGUGAGCCACCACACCUGGCCGCAACUCCCUUUCUGAGUCAAGUUUUCCAUUGUUGUAAUGACAAUUGUUAUACCCACCUCAAAGAGCCCUGCUUAAGAUUCCUUUCCUUGACUCCUGCUUGGCAUCUGGACAAUGGGGCCCAUAGCAAGUUCUCUGCAGUGACUGUUUGCAGUUUCCACAGUGCCUAGCCCAGAGCUGAGCUGCAAGUAGGACAAUAUUAAAGGUCAUUGGUUAAUAUAGAGCCAACUGUGCAGAAGUAGAGGCAGCUAUGAUGUAACAGAAAAAGGCCUUGGCUUGGAGUCAGAAUUCCUGGGUUACAAUGUCAGUUCUGUUCACUGUGAGGCCCUUGGAUGAGUCACUAACCCUCCCUGAGCCUUUUCUUUAUCUGUUAAUAUUAAAAAUAUGAUUAAUAAUAAUUCCUUGGAUGGUCAUUGUGAGUAUAUGGUGCGGAGGGCUACCGUUUAUAUAGUGAUUACUGUGUGCUACAUAUUCUACACUAGUUACAUCACUUAAUUUAUUAAUUAACUCUGAGAGAAAUGCAAAUCAAAACCACAAUUAGAUACCAUCUCACACCAGUCAGAAUGGCAAGUAUUAAAAACUCAAGAAAUGACAGAUGCUGGCAAGGCUGUGGAGCAAUAGGAACGCUUUUACACUGUUGGUGGCAAUGUAAAUUAGUUCAACCAUUGUGGAAGACAGUGUGGUGAUUCCUCAAGGAUCUAGAACCAGAAAUACCAUUUGACCCAGCGAUCCCAUUACUGGGUACAUACCCAAAGGAAUAUAAAUCAUUCUAUUACAAAGAUACAUACAUGCGUAUGUUCAUUGCAGCACUACUCACAAUAGCAAAGCAGUAAAAUAAAUUCCUUGACAUGGAAUCAAUCCAAAUGUCCAUUGGUGAUAGACUGGAUAAAUAAAAUGUGGUACAUAUACCCCACGGAAUACUACGCAGCCAUAAAAAGGAAUGAGAUUGUGUCCUUUGCAGGGAUGUGGAUAAAGCUGGAAGCCAUCAUCCUCAGCAAACUAAUGCAGGAAGAGAAACUCAAACACUACGUGUUCUCACUCAUAAGUGGGAGCUGAACAAUGAGAACACAUGGACACACGGAGGAGAACAACACACACCGAGGCCUGUUGCAGCAGGCCAGAGUGUCCAGCCUUACAAGUUGCAAGGCCCCCUUCAGCGAUCUGAGCCUGGCACAAGGAUCCGAUUGACCUAUGCAUCCUCUGGGUUCUCGACACACCAGGUUACUGUGACCUGGCUUAAAAACAAACACGAGCUCCCAAACCCCCAGACCAGCGUCCAGUACAGUGGACACACCUACAAUGUGACCAGCAGUGUGCUUGUCCCGCUGAUGGAUGAUGAUGUGUUCUCCCACGUCGUUUGCCAUGUGGAGCACAAGUUGACGUGGUUUUUCCAGAAAACCACUGGCCUGGACCAGUACCUCCAGGUUCCCCCUACAGUGACAGUGUCCCAGUCUUCCACCUCCUCCAGCUUGGUGGCUGUUACUUGCCUCGUGCAGAGAUUCUAUCCACAAAACGUGCACCUUGCCUGGCUAGAGGACUGCCAUACACUCAAAGGCACUGAGCAACCCACAUUAAAGAAGAAUAAUGAUAGGUCCUACACCCUGGAAAAGCUGCUGCUGGUGAAUGCAUCAGUGCAGGGGCCUGAGCGGGUGCUCACCUGCAUGAUGGAACAUGAGGGACAGCCUCCCAAACGGGCUAACCUCGUACUGUCCACAGCAGCCCACACCGCUUAUAAGCCCAUUGGGAGCACAGCCCCUGCAUGCCCUGUGAUACAUUACCUCCAGCCCUCUCCAAGGGGUUCAAGUGGGGAGAGGCUGCAAGGACUUAUAGGUCACUAAAGACCCCUUUAUUCCGUCCCUGCCACCCCCAUCGCGGACACGCUCCCUUCCGCACACCCUCCUGGUGUUCCUUCCCUCAGAGCUUUGGAGCUGAGUCAGGGACGAGUUUUCUUCAUGAGGACUCCAGGGAUGUCUUGACCCUGAUGUACUGAGCUUCAGAUUGGCCCUGCUUCCAACCAAGAGAAUUAAACUGCUCAAGAAAAGAAGUUUCCAUUCUGCCCCUGGUCAUGAACAAUCCUUAAUUUUCAGAGCAGUUUUUACUUUUGUGCGGGGCUUUUGAAAAUAUGAUUUCAUUUUAACACACAUAUAUUUUGAAAUCACUGGGAAGUUGCAUAAGCAUUUUUCUCUUCUGAAAUGUACAGAAAAAAUACAAACAAUACCCAUGGACCUAACAUCCUAUCUUUUAAAAACAGUAACAUUUGCCAUUAUGAUCUUCAGUUCUUUAAAAACAAAAAACAAAAAACAAAACACUGUUCUGAAUUUAUCAUUCUCAAGCAUGGUUUUAUAACUUUAUAACAUAUGUAUGAAUCCUUAAGCAAUGUAUAGUAUUACUUUUCAUAUUUUAACAUUAUAUAGAUGCUUUGACACUGUACACAGCAAUCUGGAACUUUAUUUUUUAUGCUUAACACAGUUUGUGAGGUUUAUUUCUGUUGAUAUAUGGAGCUACAUUUUAUUAAUUUUCCACUGUUCUGUGGUCUUCUAUUGUAAGAAUAUGCCACAAUUUAUCAAUUCUUCUCAAGACAGAUUUUGAAGCUUCAUUCAGUGUUUUGCUAGUACAACUUUGCAACAAACAUUCUUUUAUUUGUUUCCCUGGGCAUGUGUGGGAGAGUCUGCCUUGUUCCUCUAGCUUGGUGCACAAAGCUGCAGUAUUGGUAUGAUUUGGGAGCUUUUGUUACACAAAAAAAAUUUCCAAUUGUUGCUUAAGUUUUACUCUUUCCAUUUAUCCCUUUCAUCUCGCUAUAUAUA
Molecule: long non-coding RNA, 5305 nt
Filed under: Homo sapiens (human)
Lineage: Eukaryota; Metazoa; Chordata; Mammalia; Primates; Hominidae
Description: non-protein coding lnc-PDYN-1:15
Source: RNAcentral